Amyelois transitella is the source of this 361-nucleotide long non-coding RNA. RefSeq lists it as uncharacterized. Lineage: Eukaryota; Metazoa; Arthropoda; Insecta; Lepidoptera; Pyralidae. The transcript has 3 exons. The record is from RefSeq and is a predicted model, not a curated record.
GCACUGUUUUAUUUCUAUUGAGUGUUGCAGUAACAUAAGUGCCUAGGUUUCCUUUGCUGCAGUUAUUAUGCUGUCGAAGUUGUUGCAGAUAACAAGAUACCAAUAUGACGUCGUCCGCAAACGAUGGAAAGAUUGGCAGUUUUGUUACUCUGUCUUGAUUGAGUUGUAUGCGGGGCACAUCUUCUUCGCCCUGGUGUAGAUCAGUUAGUAGCCAUUCGGGUCUCGCGGAAUAAACCAUGGCGGCUCUCCACCUGGAAAUCACAUCGAUAAGUUCUCUCGUAAGUCUGGUGAGCGUGCCAAACAAUAACGUAAAACUAAUGUAGGUUUUCAAACACAUGUUUUUUUAACUAUUAAAACGUAU